RNAcentral lists this ribosomal RNA (402 nucleotides) under uncultured prokaryote. RNAcentral's name for it is "bacterial SSU rRNA". It matches the Rfam family "Bacterial small subunit ribosomal RNA", at positions 355 to 774 of the family's 1533-position model. The record is from RNAcentral.
UGGGGAAUAUUGGACAAUGGGGGCAACCCUGAUCCAGCCAUGCCGCGUGAAUGAUGAAGGCCUUCGGGUUGUAAAAUUCUUUUGGUGGGGACGAUGAUGACGGUACCCACAGAAUAAGCUCCGGCUAACUUCGUGCCAGCAGCCGCGGUAAUACGAAGGGGGCUAGCGUUGUUCGGAAUUACUGGGCGUAAAGGGCGCGUAGGCGGCUUGAUAAGUUGGAUGUGAAAUCCCCGGGCUCAACCCGGGAAUUGCAUUCAAGACUAUCUUGCUUGAAUUCGGUAGAGGUUGGUGGAAUUCCCAGUGUAGAGGUGAAAUUCGUAGAGAUUGGGAAGAAUAUCCGUGGCGAAGGCGGCCAACUGGACCGACAUUGACGCUGAGGCGCGAAAGCGUGGGGAGCAAACA